CCUACGGGCGGCAGCAGUGGGGAAUAUUGCACAAUGGGGGAAACCCUGAUGCAGCGACGCCGCGUGAGUGAAGAAGUAUUUCGGUACGUAAAGCUCUAUCAGCAGGGAAGAAAAUGACGGUACCUGACUAAGAAGCCCCGGCUAACUACGUGCCAGCAGCCGCGGUAAUACGUAGGGGGCAAGCGUUAUCCGGAAUUACUGGGGGUAAAGGGAGCGUAGACGGUUAAGUAAGUCUGGAGUGAAAGGCCGGGGCCCAACCCCGGGACUGCUCUGGAAACUAUUGAGCUGGAGUGCAGGAGAGGUAAGCGGAAUUCCUAGUGUAGCGGUGAAAGGCGUAGAUAUUAGGAGGAACACCAGUGGCGAAGGCGGCUUACUGGACUGUAACUGACGUUGAGGCUCGAAAGCGUGGGGAGCAAAUAGGAUUAGAUACCCGGGUAGUC
Molecule: ribosomal RNA, 440 nt
Filed under: uncultured bacterium
Lineage: Bacteria
Description: partial 16S ribosomal RNA
Rfam family: Bacterial small subunit ribosomal RNA
Source: RNAcentral